UACGGAGGGAGCUAGCGUUAUUCGGAAUUACUGGGCGUAAAGCGCACGUAGGCGGCUUUGUAAGUUAGAGGUGAAAGCCUGGAGCUCAACUCCAGAAUUGCCUUUAAGACUGCAUCGCUUGAAUCCAGGAGAGGUGAGUGGAAUUCCGAGUGUAGAGGUGAAAUUCGUAGAUAUUCGGAAGAACACCAGUGGCGAAGGCGGCUCACUGGACUGGUAUUGACGCUGAGGUGCGAAAGCGUGGGGAGCAAACA
RNAcentral lists this ribosomal RNA (251 nucleotides) under uncultured bacterium. RNAcentral describes it as "partial 16S ribosomal RNA". It matches the Rfam family "Bacterial small subunit ribosomal RNA", at positions 524 to 774 of the family's 1533-position model. The record is from RNAcentral.